Molecule: ribosomal RNA, 439 nt
Filed under: uncultured bacterium
Lineage: Bacteria
Description: bacterial SSU rRNA
Rfam family: Bacterial small subunit ribosomal RNA
Source: RNAcentral
GCUAAACGCGAAGAACCUUACCAAGGCUUGACAUAUACGAGAACGCUGCAGAAAUGCAGAACUCUUUGGACACUCGUAUACAGGUGGUGCAUGGUUGUCGUCAGCUCGUGUCGUGAGAUGUUGGGUUAAGUCCCGCAACGAGCGCAACCCUCGUUCUAUGUUGCCAGCGCGUUAUGGCGGGAACUCAUAGGAGACUGCCGGGGUCAACUCGGAGGAAGGUGGGGAUGACGUCAAAUCAUCAUGCCCCUUAUGUCUUGGGCUUCACGCAUGCUACAAUGGCCGGUACAAAGGGCUGCAAUACCGCAAGGUGGAGCGAAUCCCAAAAAGCCGGUCUCAGUUCGGAUUGAGGUCUGCAACUCGACCUCAUGAAGUCGGAGUCGCUAGUAAUCGCAGAUCAGCAACGCUGCGGUGAAUACGUUCCCGGGUCUUGUACACACCG